RNAcentral lists this long non-coding RNA (951 nucleotides) under Nicotiana tabacum (common tobacco). RNAcentral describes it as "long non-coding RNA (NTAB_LNC002244)". The record is from RNAcentral. Lineage: Eukaryota; Viridiplantae; Streptophyta; Magnoliopsida; Solanales; Solanaceae.
GAAAUAACUAAAAGUUUGAUAAAUCUUUAUCAAAUUAACUGGGAUACAAAAUUACAGCCAACUAAUGCCCACAAGUCCAGUCGUCGUGCUCAUCAUAUAGCAGUUAGUGCUGCGCAAUACGAUUGGUUUUGUGUUACUUUUGUAGGAGUAUCAGUACAUUGUCGGUGUCGUCUCCUGUAGCAGUAGGUAAAGUUUUCCUAUAAGAUAUUUUAUCAAAUACAUUACGGGCAUUAGUAGUGUUUGGUAAUAAUACAAGUGGAUUUACAAUAAAAGUGUUAGGAACUGACAAGAAAUUAAACAUUAAACAGAAUAUAUAACAGAAUUCACAUGCAUGUACACAUUCCACCAAGAAAAUAGGGAGAAAACAAAAAAGAAAGAAAGAAACACGAAAAAAACUCAGCGCAUGUCACAGGUACGAAAAGGGGAAAAGAAAGAGCAAAUAGAAAAAUCUGAAAAUCUAACCAAAAGCUAAAAAUGAGAGAGACGAAGUAAUAAUGAAGAGACCCGAAACAGAGCCUAAGUAAAGCACACAAAAGGCGACAGUUGAGUACACAACAACUAUUUGCAAACGAUGUUGCGUAGAAGUGUGACCAAAAAGUGUUAAACUAAUUAAAUAAGAAGAUUUUAGGUAAAUCUUAGCCCAAGAUAAUUUACCCUAGAUCUAAAAUAGAAGAUAAGAAUGAGCAAGCAUAGCACACAUAAGAUUUAACUAUAACACUGAUUGAAUCUCAUUAUAUAAGAGGAGGAUGGUAAUUUUCAUAAUAUUAAACAACAAUUAAGAAAACAUUAAUGAGAAAGGUCACCGUUCUUUAACAAGGUAGAACCUCAUACAUUUGAUAUGAUGAGACUAACGAUAUGUAUUGAAGAACUGAGCUUCCUUGCUUCUUUAUCCUUCGUGGUGGAGAGAUCUCUCCUCCUUUCUGGAAAUAUGUCUGUGUCUCCAUUUUUUUU